GACGAACGCUGGCGGCGUGCUUAACACAUGCAAGUCGAACGGAAAGGCCCUGCUUGCAGGGUACUCGAGUGGCGAACGGGUGAGUAACACGUGGGUGAUCUGCCCUGCACUUCGGGAUAAGCCUGGGAAACUGGGUCUAAUACCGGAUAUGACCUUCCUUGUAGUGUGGGGGGUGGAAAGAUUUAUCGGUGUGGGAUGAGCCCGCGGCCUAUCAGCUUGUUGGUGGGGUAAUGGCCUACCAAGGCGUCGACGGGUAGCCGGCCUGAGAGGGUGGACGGCCACAUUGGGACUGAGAUACGGCCCAGACUCCUACGGGAGGCAGCAGUGGGGAAUAUUGCACAAUGGGCGGAAGCCUUAUGCAGCGACGCCGCGUGGGGGAUGACGGCCUUCGGGUUGUAAACCUCUUUCGACAGGGACGAAGCUUCGGUGACGGUACCUGUAUAAGAAGCACCGGCUAACUACGUG
Molecule: ribosomal RNA, 465 nt
Filed under: uncultured bacterium
Lineage: Bacteria
Description: partial 16S ribosomal RNA
Rfam family: Bacterial small subunit ribosomal RNA
Source: RNAcentral